GAAAUUGUUAUUCUAACACUGAAAAAUCUAUUGCAGACAAUUGAAGGUAUUCCAAAUGCAACAGCGACUCAGCUUGAUGUUUCAGAUAUCGGAAGUCUUCGUAAGUAUAUUUCUCAGGUUGAAGUUGUUAUAAGUUUACUUCCUCCUACUUUCCACAUCAUGAU
Non-coding RNA from Carica papaya (papaya), 164 nucleotides. The record is from RefSeq and is a predicted model, not a curated record. Lineage: Eukaryota; Viridiplantae; Streptophyta; Magnoliopsida; Brassicales; Caricaceae.